Molecule: long non-coding RNA, 207 nt
Filed under: Eucalyptus grandis
Lineage: Eukaryota; Viridiplantae; Streptophyta; Magnoliopsida; Myrtales; Myrtaceae
Description: long non-coding RNA (EGRA_LNC007843)
Source: RNAcentral
CGUUUUACUUUCUCCUUUGACAUGAAACUCAAUCUUAAAUGUAAGUCCAAGGUUUCCUAUCCCAUGGAUCAGGAAAUACACGCGCUGAAACCCAAAUAGAUGGCCUUAAAGAUGAGACUGUUUCAUUUUUCAUUACACUGAGGUAGUCCUUAUACAUACUCUGAUCAUUUUUCAUUACACUGAGGUCUUACACAUACUCUGAAUUAC